GCGAGACGGUGGCCCACGGGCCGAGUGCGACCGAUAAACUGUUCACGGACGACGCCGGGCGCUGCCUUGCGUCGUCUGCAAAUGAUCAGCCAGCAGCCGCUGCAACCACAGGGAG
Molecule: small RNA, 115 nt
Filed under: Streptomyces pluripotens
Lineage: Bacteria; Bacillati; Actinomycetota; Actinomycetes; Kitasatosporales; Streptomycetaceae
Description: Streptomyces-metK RNA
Rfam family: Streptomyces-metK RNA
Source: Rfam by way of RNAcentral